This 501-nucleotide unclassified non-coding RNA is filed under the name Hevea brasiliensis (rubber tree). The record is from RNAcentral. Lineage: Eukaryota; Viridiplantae; Streptophyta; Magnoliopsida; Malpighiales; Euphorbiaceae.
GCCAGGCUGGUGCAUCUGCAGUUGACCGAACCAGGUUAGCUUUAAAGGCCUUCACUGACCAGAAAAGACGGUUUUUCCCUCAUCUUGAAGAUGAAAAUGGGUCAAAUAACGAGCCUGCGCUGAAGAAGCCUUGUUUUUCUCAUGGAGUGACAGAUGUCAAACAAAAUGAGCUUAAUGAUUCUAGAUCACUCCCAGAUAUUCUAUCCUGUAUGGAAAAGGAAGUGCCGGAGCUUAAGAUUUUCACUUAUGAAAGGUUGGACUGGUUAAAACAAGCUUCAGCCCUUCCCUCUCAAGCAAAUGAGAAUUCAAUAGGAGCAUUGAAAGAACAUAGCUAUCAUAGUCCUAGGAUGAGCCCCGGAUCACUUGGUGCUACUCCCACAGAUAAAGCUGGUGUGAUUGAGUUGGUCAUUCCUUCGGUCUUUAGAGCCGUAGUAUCACUGCAUCCAGUUGGUUCUGUUGAACCAGAUGCUGUUGCUUUCUUUUCUCCUGAUGAGAGAGGCA